Molecule: ribosomal RNA, 468 nt
Filed under: uncultured bacterium
Lineage: Bacteria
Description: partial 16S ribosomal RNA
Rfam family: Bacterial small subunit ribosomal RNA
Source: RNAcentral
GACGAACGCUGGCGGCGUGCUUAACACAUGCAAGUCGAACGGAAAGGCCCUGCUUUUGUGGGGUGCUCGAGUGGCGAACGGGUGAGUAACACGUGAGUAACCUGCCCUUGACUUUGGGAUAACUUCAGGAAACUGGGGCUAAUACCGGAUAGGAGCUCCUGCUGCAUGGUGGGGGUUGGAAAGUUUCGGCGGUUGGGGAUGGACUCGCGGCUUAUCAGCUUGUUGGUGGGGUAGUGGCUUACCAAGGCUUUGACGGGUAGCCGGCCUGAGAGGGUGACCGGCCACAUUGGGACUGAGAUACGGACCAGACUGCUACGGGAGGCAGCAGGGGGGAAUAUUGCACAAUGGGCGGAAGCCUGAUGCAGCAACGCCGCGUGCGGGAUGACGGCCUUUGGGUUGUAAACCGCUUUCGCCUGUGACGAAGCGUGAGUGACGGUAAUGGGUAAAGAAGCACCGGCUAACUACGUG